CGCAUGCUUAGAACACUAGGAAUCGUACUUGAUAUUAGUCGUGAAAUGUAAAUAUGACUGGCACAUUUGGACUAGACAGAUGAUCUCAUCUCUGGCUGCCAACUGAGAAUAUUGGUACACAGUGUAACUUGCAAUAGGUGACCAGUGAUAGCCCGGGAGUGUCAGCCAAAGUAAAACUUCCCUGUACUGUACGUUGCCUGGAGUAGAACCAAGGAAAAGUUCUGAUGCGUACCAGGGGGACAAAUUCUGUGUUAAAACUAUUUAACCGUAAGGUCAGACAGUGCCCAGACACUCUUGUAACCAUAACUAUUUCAUUGAGAUGAAGUUGUUAUAUGAUGA
Non-coding RNA from Pelobates cultripes (western spadefoot toad), 339 nucleotides. Lineage: Eukaryota; Metazoa; Chordata; Amphibia; Anura; Pelobatidae. The record is from the annotation of a GenBank genome assembly.